Molecule: non-coding RNA, 237 nt
Organism: Pelobates cultripes (western spadefoot toad)
Lineage: Eukaryota; Metazoa; Chordata; Amphibia; Anura; Pelobatidae
Source: the annotation of a GenBank genome assembly
CCCUUACUGCCCUGAUGGCAGCGAUGAGGUCAGUACUGUGUGUAGGUCCAGAGCUGCCAACUCUCACCCAGUGCCUUCAUAUUGUGUAUUACUGGAAGCACAUUGAGAUGGAUUAAAAAAAAUAAAUCACAAAAAGGAAAAACUAUGCACAGUCAUAUGUUACCAACAAGACACAAACAGGGGACAUACUAAAAGGAAUGACAGAUUGGAAUGCCCAUAGACUUUAACAAGGCAGUG